GGAGAUUUAGCUCAGUGGUAGAGCGCUUGCCUAGCAAGCGCAAGGCCCUGGGUUCGGUCCCCAAGCUCCG
RNAcentral lists this transfer RNA (70 nucleotides) under Rattus norvegicus (Norway rat). It matches the Rfam family "tRNA". From Rfam's summary of the family: Transfer RNA (tRNA) molecules are approximately 80 nucleotides in length. The record is from Rfam by way of RNAcentral. Lineage: Eukaryota; Metazoa; Chordata; Mammalia; Rodentia; Muridae.